UGCACUCACUACUGUAAAUCUCUCUGGAUAAGAGCGUCUGCUAAAUGACAAAAA
Salmo salar (Atlantic salmon) is the source of this 54-nucleotide non-coding RNA. The record is from Rfam. Lineage: Eukaryota; Metazoa; Chordata; Actinopteri; Salmoniformes; Salmonidae.